UGGGGAAUAUUGGACAAUGGGCGCAAGCCUGAUCCAGCCAUGCCGCGUGGAUGAUGAAGGCCUUAGGGUUGUAAAAUCCUUUCGCCGAGGACGAUAAUGACGGUACUCGGAGAAGAAGCUCCGGCUAACUUCGUGCCAGCAGCCGCGGUAAUACGAAGGGGGCUAGCGUUGUUCGGAUUUACUGGGCGUAAAGCGCGUGUAGGCGGGUCGUUAAGUUGGGGGUGAAAUCCCGAGGCUCAACCUCGGAACUGCCUUCAAAACUGGCGACCUGGACCUAAGUAGAGGCAAGUGGAAUUGCGAGUGUAGAGGUGAAAUUCGUAGAUAUUCGCAGGAACACCAGUGGCGAAGGCGACUUGCUGGACUUAUGGUGACGCUGAGACGCGAAAGCGUGGGUAGCAAACGGGAUUAGAUACCCCGGUAGUCCCUGAGCGGGCUGGCAAGGCGCAU
Molecule: ribosomal RNA, 447 nt
Filed under: uncultured bacterium
Lineage: Bacteria
Description: bacterial SSU rRNA
Rfam family: Bacterial small subunit ribosomal RNA
Source: RNAcentral